GGCAUUUUAAACAAGACUCUCAUUGCCAUUUCUGAUGAGGAUCUAACUGUUAAUCUUUUAUCUUGCAGUCAGCCAUAUGACUCUGCAGUGACUCUUCCCUGCUUGCGAGAUUCCUGCAGUAAACAAUAAGACUAUAUUUUUAACUCAUCAUGCAUUUAAGAUGGAGGCAAUAAUUCAGUUUCCAGUUUCUCGAGCAUUUGGUGGAUUUGACCAGCUUUAACGGCUACAAAGCUCUCCCUUUUAUUUUGUUAUCACCCAGUUCUUAACUUGCACUCUGCUUUGCAGACAUGGUUAGAAUUUUUCAUUUUCUGUUUAAUCCAAGUUCCUCUGUUGCUUGUGAGGAGGGACAACAUAACAAGAACCAAAAAACAUGGCAAAAGGAACAAUGGUGAAAGGAAAACUGUGGGUUUGGAUCCACUGCUAAACUAGUUGCAAGCAAGACCUGUGACUGGUGAAUUUACUACCGAUGAAAGGUGGGUAAUUGAUGUGAAACAACUGAAACAACCGAAACAACUGAAAACUUCUUUUGAUCUACAGAACAAGUCAAGCACAGGGUCAGCGCUCUGCUUUGUUCUACCAUCCAGCCAUUUCUGGGAUUCUCUGUAGAAGUGGAAGAGAGGUCACAUCUGCCAGUGAGUUUCCUCUUUAACCUAAGAACAAUAAACACCUGGACAGCUGCACCACCACAUUAAGCACCUCUCCUGAUGAACAGCUCCA
Molecule: long non-coding RNA, 717 nt
Organism: Caretta caretta (loggerhead turtle)
Lineage: Eukaryota; Metazoa; Chordata; Testudines; Cheloniidae
Source: RefSeq, a predicted model, not a curated record